RNAcentral lists this ribosomal RNA (831 nucleotides) under uncultured bacterium. RNAcentral's name for it is "bacterial SSU rRNA". It matches the Rfam family "Bacterial small subunit ribosomal RNA", at positions 56 to 887 of the family's 1533-position model. The record is from RNAcentral.
UGCAAGUCGAACGGUAGAGGGGGCAACCCCUUGAGAGUGGCGAACGGGUGAGUAAUAUAUCGGAACGUGCCCAGUCGUGGGGGAUAACGUAGUGAAAAUUACGCUAAUACCGCAUACGAUCUAAGGAUGAAAGCGGGGGAUCGCAAGACCUCGCGCGACUGGAGCGGCCGAUAUCAGAUUAGGUAGUUGGUGAGGUAAAGGCUCACCAAGCCAACGAUCUGUAGCUGGUCUGAGAGGACGACCAGCCACACUGGAACUGAGACACGGUCCAGACUCCUACGGGAGGCAGCAGUGGGGAAUUUUGGACAAUGGACGCAAGUCUGAUCCAGCCAUUCCGCGUGCAGGAUGAAGGCCCUCGGGUUGUAAACUGCUUUUGUACGGAACGAAAAGGUCUCUCCUAAUACGAGGGGCUCAUGACGGUACCGUAAGAAUAAGCACCGGCUAACUACGUGCCAGCAGCCGCGGUAAUACGUAGGGUGCAAGCGUUAAUCGGAAUUACUGGGCGUAAAGCGUGCGCAGGCGGUUAUGUAAGACAGAGGUGAAAUCCCCGGGCUCAACCUGGGAACUGCCUUUGUGACUGCAUAGCUAGAGUACGGUAGAGGGGGAUGGAAUUCCGCGUGUAGCAGUGAAAUGCGUAGAUAUGCGGAGGAACACCGAUGGCGAAGGCAAUCCCCUGGACCUGUACUGACGCUCAUGCACGAAAGCGUGGGGAGCAAACAGGAUUAGAUACCCUGGUAGUCCACGCCCUAAACGAUGUCAACUGGUUGUUGGGUCUUAACUGACUCAGUAACGAAGCUAACGCGUGAAGUUGACCGCCUGGGGAGUACGGCC